CGGGGUGUAGCGCAGCCCGGUUAGCGCGCGUCGUUCGGGACGACGUGGUUGUAGGUUUGUUUUCUUUCAUCUCGACAA
This 78-nucleotide transfer RNA is filed under the name Flavobacteriales bacterium. RNAcentral describes it as "tRNA-Pro". The record is from RNAcentral. Lineage: Bacteria; Pseudomonadati; Bacteroidota; Flavobacteriia; Flavobacteriales.